Spinacia oleracea (spinach) is the source of this 2813-nucleotide long non-coding RNA. RefSeq lists it as uncharacterized. The transcript has 7 exons. The record is from RefSeq and is a predicted model, not a curated record. Lineage: Eukaryota; Viridiplantae; Streptophyta; Magnoliopsida; Caryophyllales; Amaranthaceae.
AAAAAGUUCUCGCAGCGCGGGGGUGAGUGGAAGCUGUGAUUAAGUAGUGUAAUUGCAACUUAGUCUUGAAAUGGACGCGCUGUGAUAAUCGUUUUCAACCCAGCUGUUUCUCGAACUCUCCGGCAUUCCCCCCCAAACCUUAUCAUUCCUCCCUCUCUCUCUCUCUCUCUAUAACCUUCAGAUCUACACUUUGUUAAGGUUUGAAUCCUUCGUUUUACCGGUGUUCGAAGGAAAGUCUUCGUUGCCAUCAGAGAUUGAGCGAAUUUCGGUGCUAAUUUACCAAGAAUUCCAUAAAUUAGGUCAUGGAUUGGUGUUUUUCCACUACAUUUUGGAGCAACUCUCAGCGUUAAGAUUUUGUUGAUUUUACACAAAAAACUCAACCGAAGGUGAACGGAGACUACUGAGAAGACGAACUCGCCGCUGCUAUCAAAGAUCCUAAAUUUCAGUAUACAGAAGAGUCUGGAUGAACUUGUAGAUGAAGCUGGCGUGCUUCGUUAAAUGCAGGGGAAGUUCGAGAAUAAGAUGAGGAUGCCUAAAGGCUGACAAGAAGCCAACCAUUACAGUCUUCAGCUUCCCUCCAGAUAAAGGAAACGUUGGAACUGCUGCAUACCUUAAUGUGUUUGCCUCCAUUUUCGCCGUCCUAUCAGACCUCAAAAAGGAUGGUUACAGUAUUGAUGGGCUCCCAAAGAGUGAUUAAUAGACCUUUCUCUUGGUUGGUUAUAAUUAGGUUUUCAAUUCUUGAAUAAAAAGUAUGGCAAUUUGUUUUCCUAGAGGUUGGUUCUAGAAUUAUUGUUGAUGUCAUAGCAGUGGUGAGUAAAUGAAUGCCUCUAGUCACUGAAUAUUUACCUAAACUCUUUAAUAAGCAUCUACAAGAAACAUAAAUCGUGUUAGAAUAUCAAUACCACAAAUAUACUUCUGUCUGGUUAUUUGGAAUUCACACAAUUCGUAUUUGUUUGAUUUUCGUAUAUUUAAAUCACCUGUGAUGAGAUUUUCUUUGACCCGUGCAAUUGGGUUAUUUUGUUCUCCAACUUUUGGUUCUUUGAGAUCUGUUUCUUAUUUUAUUGUCAAGUUCCGUUCAAAUGGUUUGUUUCAUCUUCUAAAACAGUUUUUAAUGGAGUUGAUGAUCCAACGGCGAGUUAAUUGAUACAAACUGUAACAAAUAAUCCCAAUUUGUAAUACACAACUAUAUAAUUCUGUUUUCUUGAUAGGUUCCACUCCCUUUGACUUUCCAUGUGUCUUGUAAUUAUCUUUUGUUUUGGGUAGAGUUUGCUAGCUGUUUAUUCAUUUGACUUGUUACAUUUUUCUUAUUUGGCGUCUUUGGCACUUUUAUGAUUAUAUCCAUUUCAAUGUUAGCUUUUAGUCUGCUGAACAUUAUGUCUGUUGUUCUGUAGCCGGCAUCUUAAUGGGACCUGCAGAUAAUGCCCUCUAUACAAUAUAUUCCUGUUUAACUGUCAAUUAGAGAUUGAUAAUCUUGCAUCGUGUCCCCAUUAUUCCAAUGAAGAUGGUGUACUUCUCCCUACUUUGGGAGUUCAUAUCUAACAUAUAGACCCUUUGGUUUAGUGGAUUAACUUGGUUUCUUGUCAUGUUACUAACUGGAAUAUAGGAUUCAGGUAUGAAUUUGUUGUGUGUCAUACUGUCAAUGCUUUGGAUAGAUGUUGAACAAUAGGCUGCUAGCCUGCAACUGAUUCACCCUUCACUACAGAUGAUGUAUUUCUUGGUUGAGAAAGGGGGUUAUGAAGGUGGUGUAUAUUAACUUUAUUUUUUUGCAUUUCUUAGGGAUGGUCUUGCUUUUGGAGGGCUAGGUUUCGCUCCUUCCCCAACAUCAGGGAUCAGGCCAGCGGCAGCUUCUAAUCCCAAUAUUCCUGGUCCUAUUGGUGGUCAGGGAUCACCAAAUGCAUGGCAGCCUAUGAGUCCGCAGAAUCUGGGUCCAUCUCCUAGUGCUGGUAUCCAUGGGUUUGGCAAUCAGUUUCCUUCCUAGGUCUGGUGACACAGCAAUUUCAUCAACUCCUAUGCCUGGGAGACCGUCACAAUUCUCUAAUAAUAAUAACUACAGCCAGCAAGGCUACCGUCCUCGUGUGCCAAGCUACUGCUGCAGCUAGCGCUGCAACUUAUGGGUAUCAGGGUCAAGUAGAUCCAUCAGCUUAUGCUGCAGCGGCUGGACAACAAGCUUAUAGUGUUGCACCUGCUGGGACACAACAAGGCUAUGCUCAGCCAGCUCCAACACAACCUGGUUAUGACUAGUCAGCAGCGGCUCCUCAAUCUGGUAGAUAUGCUACUGCUCCUACUGGUGCACCUGGUGCUUAUGGAAAAACCUUAUCUCCCCAGCCUCAACCUGGUUAUCCACCGAAUGAUGCAUCCCAGCAAGCGUACGCUGCACCACGAUAAUUUGAUUCAGAUAACAACAUACUGUUUACUAUCAUCCGCUUCUUCGGCGAUUCCUAUUACAAACAUAAUGCGGGAGGGAGCAGACAACAUUUUCACAGAUUCAUCAGCAGCAGCCAUAAGCAUGUCUCUCCUGGCUUUCAUUUCAUUGGUUGCCAUUUUGUGUUUAUUGAUUUAGUCAGGUACUGAGUAUUGUUCAUAUGAUUGUUUUAAUUAGGAUAGGAAUGUUGAUGUAAUAUGUAGAUUGAUUGAAUAUCAAUUGUUGGUUUGGCUUAGAAUGUGAUGGUGGCUUGGUGUUUAUUGCUAUAAUCAGGUGGUGGGUGUAUUGCAUUUGGUUAUUUCACUCGGGAUUAUUCUGCCAAUGGAUUGUUCAUCUGAUUCUUUUUUUUGUAAAAUAAAUAUACUAUUUUCAACGCGUACUCUUGAGUGGA